UUAUUUUGAUGGUCCCCUAUAGAUGAUCUACAGAUAGAUGAUCUACAGGGCGAAGCUCUGCCACUGCACUUGGGUGUUGCUGACCCUUGCGAAUUCCCCAAAUGUGUGAAUUUCUAGUGUAUGAUUUCUGGUAGUGGGGGACUGCAUUUGCGCUCCCCCCGA
This is a small nuclear RNA of Pygocentrus nattereri (red-bellied piranha), 162 nucleotides long. Its record names the gene U1. It matches the Rfam family "U1 spliceosomal RNA". Rfam says of the family: U1 is a small nuclear RNA (snRNA) component of the spliceosome (involved in pre-mRNA splicing). Its 5' end forms complementary base pairs with the 5' splice junction, thus defining the 5' donor site of an intron. Lineage: Eukaryota; Metazoa; Chordata; Actinopteri; Characiformes; Serrasalmidae. The record is from Ensembl.